Molecule: long non-coding RNA, 2101 nt
Organism: Ostrinia nubilalis (European corn borer)
Lineage: Eukaryota; Metazoa; Arthropoda; Insecta; Lepidoptera; Crambidae
Exons: 2
Source: RefSeq, a predicted model, not a curated record
UGUCUCGUGUGUACUUUAAUUAUAACGAAUUAUUUGAUCUUUAAAACGCAACUCUAACUUAUACGGUUUUAAUAAUCCACCGUGUGUUACGUGUCACCAGCUUACACAUACAUAUCGGUUCGUAGUUCGAAAACGGUUCGAGAUAAAGCUUUGAAAGAUUUGAAGUCGGGUUUUUUUAUUCGACUUUAAUUUAUGAGAUAUAAAACAUUGAUGUAGCUUAAAUAUUUACAAAGAUACAGAUGUGUAAGCUGGAGACACGGUACUCCAGCUCGCACAUAGUUUUUUGAUCGUGGUUUUAACAGUAUUUGAGCUAAAGUCUUGAAAAGUGGAAAGCCUACUAUUUGGAUUCGACUGUAAUUUUUGAGGUAUAAUACAUUAUCGUAGCAUAAAUAUUUACGAAGAUACAGAUGUGUCAGCUGGGGACACGUGUCCUCAGCUUACACACAGAAAACAACUCAUAGUUAUGAAGUUCUAAUGGCUCUAAUUGAAUGACUGAGAGGUUUGAUGACUCUAAUUAGGCUUUUAUUGAUGGUAUACUUGGAAUUGCUCUAGGGCCAAUGAGGAAGUUGGAGACAUUCAGGUGAUAAAAUAUCACACAUUUUAUUGACACUCCCCACUUGCUAUGAUGGAGUCAUCACUGCGUUAGAAACGCUGGGAGAAGAACACCUAAAUCUUGUAUUUGUGAAAACACGUCUAUUAGACCAUGAAGUGAAACUGAAGGCUGAAAGUACGACUGAGCUUAAGGCCCUCAAUACAGGCACCAAGCAUGAUGGUGAUCAUAAUACUCUUGUCUUUUUCAAGAAAAAUCAAAACUAUGUGCAAAAGAAAAAUAAUAAUUAUCGACCCGGAAACUACAAGAUUACUAAGUUGUAUUGUGAGCAUUGUGGACGCAGAAAUCACAUAAAAAAGGAUUGUCGUUACUUUAAAAACAAGUUGCAGCAAAAUAAUCAAUCAACAUCGAGAUCAGCCAACAACAUUCAACCAUGCAACGAUGAUGAGGACGGUUUCGCUUUUAUGUUAUCAAAAUGAAAUCAACUAGCAGAUGUCUUCACGAAGAUGGUGCCAACGGUUAAGUUCCUGGACAUAAGAAAUAAGCUAAAUUUAAUUUAAGAUGUUAGUAAAUUUAAAAUAAGUAUUGGUACCUAACUUAAAAUAUUGUGUCUCAAAUCAAAGUUUAAUUGAUUAUUUUUUAGUUAUUGUCUAGCAUUAAGAGUCACAUCUCAAAGUGGAUUUUGAGUGGCUUGAAAAUUAUAUUGCCUAAGAUGGGAAUUGAACCCACUUCAUUAUUAUUAAGUAAAACAUAAUUGCUUAAGAUGGGAAUCGAACCCACUUCAUCAUUAUUAUGUAUAAAAUAUUUUUGUUAAUAACGAACUUGAUUUUGGAAACAUAAUGUAUCUCAAACUAAUACAGUUGAUAUGUAUGUAUAAAUUAUUAAAAGACUUGAAUAUUUGAGGGGGACUGUUGGUAUACAUGUUACGGUCAAUGUGAUAAAUUGAAAAUUAUUAAUAAUAACCGGUUAUUAUGAAUAAUUACCGACAGUCGCGGUAAAAGUGAUAAAUUAAUCACAUUUAACAGUGAUUAUUUAAUAAUUCAACCUUAGUACUAUCAAAUUUCAUAAAAGAGAACAACAUCUUGUGCACGUGCUCGUGUACAGCCAAACUUUUGAACGUUUUGAUAUCAUAUAUUAAUAUAAUUUGGCAUAAUGAGUUUGGAAUGUUUCUUGCAUAAUAUUACUUUUCCAUGAUGCCUAUAACAUAAUGUUUUGAUUUAAAGCGAAAAAUAGGUUAGGGUGCGGCGGGGGUGGCCCUUGGGCCACCCCUAAGCCGCCUAUUUAGUUUUAUACACACAUAAAUGACCUCAUAUUAAUCACAUUUACCAAAUCAUGCGGUAAUUAUUCAUAAUAACCGGCGAUUAUUCAUAAUUUUCACAUUUAUCACUUUGACCGUAACAUACACAAAUAAUCAAGUAAAUGUUAAUCUGUGGUUAAUCUCAUUCGAUGUUCAAUUCAUUCAUUCAGAGUGAAUGAAGCACAUGUAUCAAUAUGUCAAUGUCACUACUUUUUUCUCCUUCCUUGGAAGAAUACAGUUUUUACUUUCUGAAA